RNAcentral lists this ribosomal RNA (460 nucleotides) under uncultured bacterium. Its description in RNAcentral is "partial 16S ribosomal RNA". It matches the Rfam family "Bacterial small subunit ribosomal RNA", at positions 338 to 795 of the family's 1533-position model. The record is from RNAcentral.
CCUACGGGGGGCAGCAGUAGGGAAUCUUGCGCAAUGGGCGAGAGCCUGAACCAGCCAAGUCGCGUGAGGGAUGACGGCCCUACGGGUUGUAAACUUCUUUUGUCAGGGAGCAAUUGAGUCCACGUGUGGGCUUAGCGAGAGUACCUGAAGAAAAAGCAUCGGCUAACUCCGUGCCAGCAGCCGCGGUAAUACGGAGGAUGCGAGCGUUAUCCGGAUUUAUUGGGUUUAAAGGGUGCGUAGGCGGAAUAUCAAGUCAGCGGUAAAAAUUCGGGGCGCAACCCCGUCGUGCCGUUGAAACUGAUGUUCUUGAGUGGGCGAGAAGUAUGCGGAAUGCGUGGUGUAGCGGUGAAAUGCUUAGAUAUCACGAAGAACUCCGAUUGCGAAGGCAGCUCACUGGACUGCAACUGACACUGAGGCUCGAAAGUGUGGGUAUCAAACAGGAUUAGAUACCCCUGUAGUC